Molecule: long non-coding RNA, 1049 nt
Filed under: Cyanistes caeruleus (blue tit)
Lineage: Eukaryota; Metazoa; Chordata; Aves; Passeriformes; Paridae
Description: lncRNA (ENSCCEG00000008699.1)
Source: RNAcentral
CUGAGCUUAUGGAUGAUCAUGCCUGGGAGAGUGUUAGAGUCAAUUUCUCAUCACACAUGGCAGUUUGGCUACCCACGUGGAUGUUUCAGCAUCCAUGAUGGUGCAGAACUAGAAAAAUUACUCACCUGUGAUUUCUGUGGCCUUCUUCCAGCAGAGAUUUACAGCAUCUGAUGGUGAGGCAUAUUUUACCUAUUCCUAAUGGAUAUAAACAGCCCAAACUUGUGUCAUUAUAUGUUCUUUUGGAUGCAUCAGCCUCAGAUAUAUCUUGGCUGUCUCUAAAAUUUGAAGUUUCACUGCUUUUUAAAGUCUACAGUGUAAAAAAACCCAGUUUUACAGUGAUUUAUUUAUGGCUCUUGCCUGGAUUCACAUGGGUAAGUCUCUGCAUAUUGUUGAUGUCUAUCGGUGUCUGUUCAAUAGGGCAAAAAAAUGUGUGUCUCAGAAGUUAGGAAAAAUGGAGAAAUUUCUUUACAGUUAGGGGUUCAAAAUUAUUUUUUUAUGCCCAUGUGAAAAAGUUUUACAAAAAUCCUGUAACCAGUGUAUUUUCUGCCUUUUUAUUUCUUACAUGCAAUACACUGAUGUAGGUAAGAAAAGAAAUACUCCUGUUUUCUUCUUGAUUCUCUUUGGCUCCCUCUCUCCCUUUCCAGGGGAGCAGAAGAGAUUGAUGAGGAAACCAGGACAUCUUCUGACACAGCAUAGACAGCAAGGACACAAAAAUGCUUCAAAUGCUGUGCUGCAGAGAAGGUGUUGCUGUCUGUGUGACAGGCAGAUUUCAGCUCAGAAAGCUAUAAGCUGGAGCUUAAUGGCCAGCUGCCUCCUUAAGCAGGUACUACAUGGUCUGGAAGCCAAGGCACCAACCCAGGAGGAAAGACUGUCUCCCAGGAAGAGGAGAUCCUGUCACUGCCACUGCUGUGAGAAACACCAAGGGGACCAAAGCUGCCCUGGCAGCAUCUGGUUUGCUCAAAUGAGAGAGGAAGGGAAGGAGGCGCACCCAUGUGUCCUCCUCUUUAGCCUUUUCAAGGUGAGUGGCUUUGAGAUGCUCUCUUAGCUAG